Molecule: ribosomal RNA, 407 nt
Filed under: uncultured bacterium
Lineage: Bacteria
Description: partial 16S ribosomal RNA
Rfam family: Bacterial small subunit ribosomal RNA
Source: RNAcentral
AUUGAACGCUGGCGGCAGGCCUAACACAUGCAAGUCGAGCGGAGCCGCGGAGGGGCGAGUAAUGCCUAGGAAUCUGCCAGGUAGUGGGGGAUAACGGCCGGAAACGGGGGAAAAUACCGCAUAGCAUCGCAUGAUCCUAGGUCGGAUUAGGAAGGUGGUGGGGUAAUGGCCUACAAAGGCGACGAUCCGUAGCUGGUCUGAGAGGAUGAGCAGUCACACUGGAACUGAGACACGGUCCAGACUCCUACGGGAGGCAGCAGUGGGGAAUAUUGGACAAUGGGGGAAAGCCUGAUGCAGCCAUGCCGCGUGUGUGAAGAAGGUCUUCGGGUUGUAAAGCACUUUAAGCUGGGAGGCGUUACUAGCAGAAUAAGCACCGGCUAACUUCGUGCCAGCAGCCGCGGUAAUUC